CUGGAAAAGACGAUGAUGCUUUAUUUCCAAGCACAUAUCCGAGUUAUAUGUGUGGACGACACUAAGACUAAGUCUUUUCUGC
RNAcentral lists this small nucleolar RNA (82 nucleotides) under Catagonus wagneri (Chacoan peccary). Its description in RNAcentral is "Small nucleolar RNA SNORD121A (ENSCWAG00000016635.1)". It matches the Rfam family "Small nucleolar RNA SNORD121A". Lineage: Eukaryota; Metazoa; Chordata; Mammalia; Artiodactyla; Tayassuidae. The record is from Rfam by way of RNAcentral.